Molecule: transfer RNA, 69 nt
Filed under: Marmota monax (woodchuck)
Lineage: Eukaryota; Metazoa; Chordata; Mammalia; Rodentia; Sciuridae
Description: tRNA.Ala
Source: RNAcentral
GUAUGUGGCUCAGGGGUAAGGUGAUUUUUUAGCAUGCAAAAGACCCUGGGUUCAAUCCCCAGCACUGCA